RNAcentral lists this transfer RNA (72 nucleotides) under Staphylococcus aureus. RNAcentral's name for it is "tRNA-Val". It matches the Rfam family "tRNA". From Rfam's summary of the family: Transfer RNA (tRNA) molecules are approximately 80 nucleotides in length. The record is from RNAcentral. Lineage: Bacteria; Bacillati; Bacillota; Bacilli; Caryophanales; Staphylococcaceae.
GGAGAAUUAGCUCAGCUGGGAGAGCAUCUGCCUUACAAGCAGAGGGUCGCCGGUUCGAACCCGUCAUUCUCC